UCAGCGGCGGACGGGUGAAGUAACACGUGGGCAACCUGCCUGUAAGACUGGGAUAACUUCGGGAAACCGGAGCUAAUACCGGAUAACACCGAGGACCUCAUGGUCCUUGGUUGAAAGAUGGCUUCGGCUAUCACUUACAGAUGGGCCCGCGGCGCAUUAGCUAGUUGGUGAGGUAACGGCUCACCAAGGCGACGAUGCGUAGCCGACCUGAGAGGGUGAUCGGCCACACUGGGACUGAGACACGGCCCAGACU
RNAcentral lists this ribosomal RNA (253 nucleotides) under Bacillus sp. (in: firmicutes). RNAcentral's name for it is "Bacillus sp. (in: Bacteria) partial 16S ribosomal RNA". It matches the Rfam family "Bacterial small subunit ribosomal RNA", at positions 92 to 337 of the family's 1533-position model. The record is from RNAcentral. Lineage: Bacteria; Bacillati; Bacillota; Bacilli; Caryophanales; Bacillaceae.